This 305-nucleotide ribosomal RNA is filed under the name uncultured bacterium. Its description in RNAcentral is "bacterial SSU rRNA". It matches the Rfam family "Bacterial small subunit ribosomal RNA", at positions 335 to 658 of the family's 1533-position model. The record is from RNAcentral.
UACCUACGGGACGCAGCAGUGGGGAAUAUUGCACAAUGGGGGGAACCCUGAUGCAGCGACGCCGCGUGGGUGAGGAAGUACUUCGGUAUGUAAAGCCCUAUCAGCAGGGAAGAAAAUGACGGUACCUGACUAAGAAGCCCUGGCUAACUACGUGCCAGCAGCCGCGGUAAUACGUAGGGGGCAAGCGUUAUCCGGAUUUACUGGGUGUAAAGGGAGCGUAGACGGUGCGCCAAGUCUGGAGUGAAAUGCCGCAGCUUAACUGCGGAACUGCUUUGGAAACUGGCGAACUAGAGUGCGGGAGGGGG